Molecule: ribosomal RNA, 497 nt
Filed under: uncultured bacterium
Lineage: Bacteria
Description: partial 16S ribosomal RNA
Rfam family: Bacterial small subunit ribosomal RNA
Source: RNAcentral
UCUUCUCUCUUUCUUCGUGCCUAAUACAUGCAAGUCGAGCGAACAGACGAGGAGCUUGCUCCUCUGACGUUAGCGGCGGACGGGUGAGUAACACGUGGAUAACCUACCUAUAAGACUGGGAUAACUUCGGGAAACCGGAGCUAAUACCGGAUAAUCUAUUGAACCGCAUGGUUCAAUAGUGAAAGACGGUUUUGCUGUCCCUUAUAGAUGGAUCCGCGCCGCAUUAGCUAGUUGGUAAGGUAACGGCUUACCAAGGCAACGAUGCGUAGCCGACCUGAGAGGGUGAUCGGCCACACUGGAACUUAGACACGGUCCAGACUCCUACGGGAGGCAGCAGUAGGGAAUCUUCCGCAAUGGGCGAAAGCCUGACGGAGCAACGCCGCGUGAGUGAUGAAGGUCUUCGGAUCGUAAAACUCUGUUAUUAGGGAAGAACAAAUGUGUAAGUAACUAUGCACGUCUUGACGGUACCUAAUCAGAAAGCCACGGCUAACUACGUG